Molecule: long non-coding RNA, 1575 nt
Filed under: Homo sapiens (human)
Lineage: Eukaryota; Metazoa; Chordata; Mammalia; Primates; Hominidae
Description: HSALNT0346018
Source: RNAcentral
CUCUUGUUGCCUUGUGAGGAAGGUAUGUGUUUCUCCUUCGCCUUCUGCCAUGCGUGUAAGUUUCCUGAGGCCUCCCCAACCAUGUGGAACUGAGAGAUAGAGAUUGCAGAUGGCUACAGAGAAGAUUCUACAUGGGGAAGGCCCCACACAUAGCUGGCUACAUCAACUACAAAGGAUAUCUUUUGGGGAGGAAGUUUUGAGGACUGCUUUCUACUGAGACUUCAAUCUAUGUGGUGUAUGGCUCUCAACAGACUGAUCACUAUGGUAACCACAAAACCUACAAAACCUGAUGGUCAAAUGCUUAGAAAGGUCCUUGGUUAUGAUAGAAAAAAUAUGAUGGUAGCAUGCCCAACAUAGCAUGCAUUUAGGCUAUGCAUAAAUACAUACCACUCUUGUUUUUGUGGACAGAAAGCUAUUAAGCAGUAUAGGGAAAAACAAUGGGCCUCUGGUAGGAUUAAAGAAGUUGGCAUCACAUUGUAGAUCCAAGUUCCCCUGGGGAAUGACCCCACUCGAAAUAAGGAAGGCUGUGAGAGGCCUUAUGGCACACUCAAAUUAAAUUACAUCUACCUGUAAACACCAAUCAUCUAACUCUAGUGUGGGGACCCAAAAUUUUUUGCAAAACAUUUAUCCUAACUGCAUUCGCGCCAUUAGUACGCAAUACCAAUGAUAUGCAUGGUAGAUUAAACAACACUGGCUCCUAAGACAGAAAAGGGCCUCAGGAGAGAUAGGUGCAGGUCUAGGUAUCCUGGGACAAGCUGAGUUUACUCUUAAUGUGGAGCAGCAUUCGGAGGAAAAAGAUUUAUUAACUAGAAGAGACAGAAUAGAGGAAAUUCUCUUCAAGGAGGAAGGCAAAGGAUGGAGUCGGGGCGGAAAGAUAAUGAGGCUUUAGCGAAGUGGAUCAGGCCAACUCAACAAACAAUGCUGGGCACUGCUAACACCCAGCCCAGGGGAAAGGGCUUGUACCCUGACCCAAUAGGACCUCUUGACUAUUUUAAUACAGAUGGAAGCUGAAGUGGCCAUGGGGCAGUGACCUGCUAUUCUGGCUGCUGAGGUCCAAGAGACCCACCCAUGGGAGUCUGAUGGCCUUCCAAACUUAUGGAAGUUCUCUGAGGGCACUUGUAGUUUUACACUGAUAGACUAUGAAUGCUCUCACCCACAGCAUAGAUCAAAAUGAAAUACAUCCUGCAGUACAGUUGGUAGAAAUGGGAACCACUCUGAAUACCACCUGUGUCCUCCCUGCAAGAAGGAGGUGGGCCUUGCUAUCUAAUAAUACACAAUGGAAACCAGCCUCAGUACAAGCCUGUGAGAUGAGGUGGGGUGGUUCUUUUUGUCCUCAAUUAACUAGAAACCCAGAUAUAACUAAACCAUGGCCAACUGUAAUAAUGCCCUUCCUUAAUAAUAUCUGACAAAUGGACAAGAGUAGAUUCUGUUGGGAAGACAAGACAAAUUCCUCUGUAAUUCUUACUUAUUUGUUCUUUUAUGAAACUGAGUUGUCCCAUGACCAUACGGUGAUAUGGUGUCAUACUGGUGCUGUAAGUAAGAUUCAAUUACCUGGUAUAAAUAAAUCUUAUGAUA